Molecule: ribosomal RNA, 1057 nt
Filed under: Shiraia bambusicola
Lineage: Eukaryota; Fungi; Ascomycota; Dothideomycetes; Pleosporales; Shiraiaceae
Description: SSU rRNA
Rfam family: Eukaryotic small subunit ribosomal RNA
Source: RNAcentral
CAACUGUCUAGUUAGCAUUAUACCGUGAAACUGCGAAUGGCUCAUUAAAUCAGUUAUCGUUUAUUUGAUAGUACCUUACUACUUGGACAACCGUGGUAAUUCUAGAGCUAAUACAUGCUGACAACCUCGACUUACGAAGAGGUGUAUUUAUUAGAUAAAAAACCAACGCCCUUCGGGGCUUCUUGGUGAUUCAUAAUAACUUUACGGAUCGCAUGGCCUUGCGCCGGCGACGGUUCAUUCAAAUUUCUGCCCUAUCAACUUUCGAUGGUAAGGUAUUGGCUUACCAUGGUUUCAACGGGUAACGGGGAAUUAGGGUUCGAUUCCGGAGAGGGAGCCCGAGAAACGGCUACCACAUCCAAGGAAGGCAGCAGGCGCGCAAAUUACCCAAUCCCGAUACGGGGAGGUAGUGACAAUAAAUACUGAUACAGGGCUCUUUUGGGUCUUGUAAUUGGAAUGAGUACAAUUUAAACCUCUUAACGAGGAACAAUUGGAGGGCAAGUCUGGUGCCAGCAGCCGCGGUAAUUCCAGCUCCAAUAGCGUAUAUUAAAGUUGUUGCAGUUAAAAAGCUCGUAGUUGAACCUUGGGUCUGGCUGGCAGGUCCGCCUCACCGCGUGUACUUGUCCGGCCGGGCCUUCCUUCUGGAGAACCUCAUGCCCUUCACUGGGCGUGUUGGGGACCAGGACUUUUACUUUGAAAAAAUUAGAGUGUUCAAAGCAGGCCUUUGCUCGAAUACGUUAGCAUGGAAUAAUAGAAUAGGACGUGCGGUCCUAUUUUGUUGGUUUCUAGGACCGCCGUAAUGAUUAAUAGGGACAGUCGGGGGCAUCAGUAUUCAAUUGUCAGAGGUGAAAUUCUUGGAUUUAUUGAAGACUAACUACUGCGAAAGCAUUUGCCAAGGAUGUUUUCAUUAAUCAGUGAACGAAAGUUAGGGGAUCGAAGACGAUCAGAUACCGUCGUAGUCUUAACCGUAAACUAUGCCGACUAGGGAUCGGGCGAUGUUAUUUUUCUGACUCGCUCGGCACCUUACGAGAAAUCAAAGUUUUUGGCUCUGGCGAGAUCC